UACGGAGGGUGCGAGCGUUGUCCGGAAUCACUGGGCGUAAAGGGCGCGUAGGCGGUUCGUUAAGUUGCUGGUGAAAUCCCGGGGCUCAACUCCGGGGCUGCCAGUAAGACUGGCGAGCUAGAGCACGGUAGAGGCGGAUGGAAUUCCCGGUGUAGCGGUGGAAUGCGUAGAUAUCGGGAAGAAUACCGGUGGCGAAGGCGUUCCGCUGGGCCGUUGCUGACGCUGAGGCGCGACAGCGUGGGGAGCAAACAGGAUUAGAUACCCUGGUAGUCCACGCCGUAAACGAUGGACACUAGGCGUCGGGGGGAGCGACCCCCUCGGUGCCGUCGCUAACGCAGUAAGUGUCCCGCCUGGGGAGUACGGCCGCAAGGCUGAA
This 376-nucleotide ribosomal RNA is filed under the name uncultured bacterium. RNAcentral describes it as "bacterial SSU rRNA". It matches the Rfam family "Bacterial small subunit ribosomal RNA", at positions 524 to 898 of the family's 1533-position model. The record is from RNAcentral.